AGGACGAACGCUGGCGGCGUGCUUCAUACAUGCAAGUCGAACGAGAAACUGACUUCGGUCAGUGGAAAGUGGCGGACGGGUGAGUAAAAUGUAGAGAAUCUGCCCUAGGGAGUGGGACAACAGAGGGAAACUUCUGCUAAUACCGCAUAUGCGCGUAGCUGAAAUGCUAUUCGUGAAAACUCCGGUGCUCUGGGAUGAGUCUGCAUCUGAUUAGCUAGUUGGCGGUGUAAUGGACCACCAAGGCGACGAUCAGUAGCUGGUUUGAGAGGAUGAUCAGCCACAAUGGGACUGAGACACGGCCCAUACUCCUACGGGAGGCAGCAGUAGGGAAUUUUGCGCAAUGGGGGAAACCCUGACGCCAGCAACGCCGCGUGAUUGAAGAAGCCCUUCGGGGUGUAAAGAUCUGUCAGUGGGGACGAAACUUGACGGUACCCACAGAGGAAGCAUCGGCUAACUCCGUGCCAGCCGCCGC
This 472-nucleotide ribosomal RNA is filed under the name uncultured bacterium. Its description in RNAcentral is "bacterial SSU rRNA". It matches the Rfam family "Bacterial small subunit ribosomal RNA", at positions 26 to 518 of the family's 1533-position model. The record is from RNAcentral.